CUCGUAGGCGGUUCGUCGCGUCCGGUGUGAAAGUCCAUCGCUUAACGGUGGAUCCGCGCCGGGUACGGGCGGGCUUGAGUGCGGUAGGGGAGACUGGAAUUCCCGGUGUAACGGUGGAAUGUGUAGAUAUCGGGAAGAACACCAAUGGCGAAGGCAGGUCUCUGGGCCGUUACUGCGCUGAGGAGCGAAAGCGUGGGGAGCGAACA
RNAcentral lists this ribosomal RNA (206 nucleotides) under uncultured bacterium. RNAcentral describes it as "partial 16S ribosomal RNA". It matches the Rfam family "Bacterial small subunit ribosomal RNA", at positions 568 to 774 of the family's 1533-position model. The record is from RNAcentral.